AAAAAUUUAGUUAAUUCUCCCCAUAACAUUAGCUUGUCAAGCUAAAAUAACCCAAAAGGGUAAUUUUUG
RNAcentral lists this transfer RNA (69 nucleotides) under Onitis alexis. Its description in RNAcentral is "tRNA-Asp". Lineage: Eukaryota; Metazoa; Arthropoda; Insecta; Coleoptera; Scarabaeidae. The record is from RNAcentral.